GAUGAAGAACGUAGCGAAAUGCGAUAAGUAAUGUGAAUUGCAGAAUUCAGUGAAUCAUCGAAUCUUUGAACGCACAUUGCGCCCUCUGGUAUUCCGGGGGGCAUGCCUGUUCGAGCGUCAUUAUAACCACUCAAGCUCUCGCUUGGUAUUGGGGCUCGCGGUUCCGCGGCCCCUAAAAUCAGUGGCGGUGCCUGUCGGCUCUACGCGUAGUAAUACUCCUCGCGAUUGGGUCCGGUAGGUCUACUUGCCAGCAACCCCCAAUUUUUACAGGUUGACCUCGGAUCAGGUAGGGAUACCCGCUGAACUUAAGCAUAUCAAUAAGCGGAGGA
RNAcentral lists this unclassified non-coding RNA (329 nucleotides) under soil metagenome. RNAcentral describes it as "partial contains 5.8S ribosomal RNA, internal transcribed spacer 2, and large subunit ribosomal RNA". The stretch from base 1 to 120 matches the Rfam family "5.8S ribosomal RNA", at positions 35 to 154 of the family's 154-position model. The record is from RNAcentral.